This 1168-nucleotide long non-coding RNA is filed under the name Citrus sinensis (sweet orange). RNAcentral's name for it is "long non-coding RNA (CSIN_LNC000723)". The record is from RNAcentral. Lineage: Eukaryota; Viridiplantae; Streptophyta; Magnoliopsida; Sapindales; Rutaceae.
UAACACACACGAACAAAGCACACGCGCACACUGCACACACUUAACACACAAACCCCUAACACACUGUUUCCAGAUCUUGACAAACCCUAAGAUACACACUCACACUGUCUGCCAGAAGCUGCUGGAACUGCUCGUGCCUCAGGAAGCUGGCGCUGCUGCUCGUGCGUCGUGCGCGCCGCCGCAAGCCACUGGAACUGCUCACGAUCGAGACCGCGCUGGUGCUGCUGCUCGUGCGUCGGUGUUGCACGUGUGCCUGGUUGCAGCUUGUGCGUCUUCAAUUCACGCUGGUUUUUAUGUCUAUUGGAUAUGCUAUUUAGUACUAUUAAUUUUUAGUGAUUAUUGCUGUAACCAAUUUUUUUUUUUUUUAUCAUAAAAGUUUAAAUGGUUGACAUGGGUAGAAUUGUUAUCGUUGAGGCAUUGAUAACCAUAUUUAUUUAUUUAUAUUCUUGAGUAAUGAUUAAAAUUAUUUGGUUUGAAGAUAAAAUUUGAUAAAAAUUUAAAUAGAAAAAUUGGACAAUAAGAGUUUGUUCGUAAUUUUAUUAACUAGAUAAAUUAGACAAUCAAUAAUUAUUUUUAUAUGACAUGUUAAAGAUCAAUAUCUUGACUUAUGUGCUAAAAGGAUAUAACAGUAAUUACAUAUUAAAAUUAUAAUUUCUGUUAAAAAAUAAUUUCGUUAAUAAAUGAAGGUGUAAAUAUUUUUUUCAAAGCAUUAAGAAUUUUUUGUCCUUUUAUUUAAACAUCAAGGUGUAUUAGACAUUUUUCCUUAUGAAUAUAUAAAAAAUAAUAAUGAUAUAAGGAUAAAGAUAGAGAUGAAAAUGACAUGUGACAUUAUUUAAUUAAUCCAUGGUUUCCAACAUUAUUAUUCAAAGUCACAGAAUUCUAGAGCUCCACUAGAUUUUUUUGUAAAAAAAUAAGAAAUAAAAUAAAAGGCUCAAUUAAUUUUGAGAGAUCAAAAUCGAAUAUCUAUAAUAAAGAAGUAUUAAUGAGGCACUUUAUUUUUUGUGGAAAGCUCAAAACUUAUUACACUUUAAAAAUCGUGAGCUUUCUUUGUCUCAAUUAAAGGCUGUCAUUUCUUCUCAUAUUAUUUUACUGAGCUCUUUUUGUUCAGGACACGUAGCUACCCAUGUUCCAAUUUAUGAUAUAUUGGGCAUAAAGAAACUGUUGCAAC